CCUACGGGUGGCAGCAGUGGGGAAUAUUGCACAAUGGGGGAAACCCUGAUGCAGCGACGCCGCGGGAGUGAAGAAGUAAUUCGUUACGUAAAGCUCUAUCAGCAGGGAAGAAAAUGACGGUACCUGACUAAGACGCCCCGGCUAACUACGUUCCAGCAGCCGCCGGAAUACGUAGGGGGCAAGCGUUAUCCGGAUUUACUGGGUGUAAAGGGAGCGCAGACGGCUGUGCAAGUCUGGAGGGAAAGGCGGGGGCCCAACCCCCGGACUGCUCUGGAAACUGUAAAGCUGGAGUGCAGGAGAGGUAAGCGGAAUUGCUAGUGUAGCGGUGAAAUGCGUAGAUAUUAGGAGGAAAACCAGUGGCGAAGGCGGCUUACUGGCCUGCAACUGACGUUGAGGCUCGAAAGCGUGGGGAGCAAACAGGAUUAGAUACCCUAGUAGUC
Molecule: ribosomal RNA, 440 nt
Filed under: uncultured bacterium
Lineage: Bacteria
Description: partial 16S ribosomal RNA
Rfam family: Bacterial small subunit ribosomal RNA
Source: RNAcentral